CAGCACUAAUGCACCGGAUCCCAU
This 24-nucleotide small nuclear RNA is filed under the name Arabidopsis thaliana (thale cress). Its description in RNAcentral is "snRNA_12209". Lineage: Eukaryota; Viridiplantae; Streptophyta; Magnoliopsida; Brassicales; Brassicaceae. The record is from RNAcentral.